RNAcentral lists this ribosomal RNA (242 nucleotides) under uncultured Actinomycetales bacterium. RNAcentral's name for it is "partial 16S ribosomal RNA". It matches the Rfam family "Bacterial small subunit ribosomal RNA", at positions 88 to 334 of the family's 1533-position model. The record is from RNAcentral. Lineage: Bacteria; Bacillati; Actinomycetota; Actinomycetes; Actinomycetales.
UACUCGAGUGGCGAACGGGUGAGUAACACGUGGGUGAUCUGCCCUGCACUUCGGGAUAAGCCUGGGAAACUGGGUCUAAUACCGGAUAGGACGAUGGUUUGGAUGCCAUUGUGGAAAGUUUUUCGGUGUGGGAUGAGCUCGCGGCCUAUCAGCUUAUUGGUGGGGUAAUGGCCUACCAAGGCGUCGACGGGUAGCCGGCCUGAGAGGGUGUACGGCCACAUUGGGACUGAGAUACGGCCCAG